RNAcentral lists this unclassified non-coding RNA (308 nucleotides) under Hevea brasiliensis (rubber tree). Lineage: Eukaryota; Viridiplantae; Streptophyta; Magnoliopsida; Malpighiales; Euphorbiaceae. The record is from RNAcentral.
CGAUGAAAACCAACAGUGUUUGUGUCAGAUCACAUGUAAUCAGCACAAAAAUGUAUCAGACAGGGAUAACUGUGUGAUAAUUUACAUUUCUCAUCACACACAACACUGUAUAGACCAACGAGAGGACAUCCCCAAAUUAGAGAAAAUAGUAAAUAAAGAAAAGCAAAACACGAAAAAAGCCUCAGACCGUCCUAGUUCAUAAAAUUAUUUCAACAUUUAUGCAAGCUUGUUGACUUGCAUUUCGGUUGAACUACAAAGAGUCAUCAAUGGCUUCAGGACUGAAAUCCACGAUUAAAUUACAAACCCAG